This 253-nucleotide ribosomal RNA is filed under the name uncultured bacterium. RNAcentral's name for it is "partial 16S ribosomal RNA". It matches the Rfam family "Bacterial small subunit ribosomal RNA", at positions 524 to 776 of the family's 1533-position model. The record is from RNAcentral.
UACGUAGGGGGCAAGCGUUAUCCGGAUUUACUGGGUGUAAAGGGGGCGCAGACGGCGAUGCAAGCCAGGAGUGAAAGCCCGGGGCCCAACCCCGGGACUGCUCUUGGAACUGCGUGGCUGGAGUGCAGGAGGGGCAGGCGGAAUUCCUGGUGUAGCGGUGAAAUGCGUAGAUAUCAGGAGGAGCACCGGUGGCGAAGGCGGCCUGCUGGACUGCAACUGACGUUGAGGCCCGAAAGCGUGGGGAGCAGACAGG